UCAGUCGUAAACUUUAAAUUACCCCCAACUCGCCUGGGAACUACGAGCCAAGCUUAAAACCCAAAGGACUUGACGGUACCCCAUAUCCCCCUAGAGGAGCCUGUCCUAUAAUCGAUAACCCCCGUUUAACCUCACCAUUUCUAGCAACUCAGCCUGUAUACCUCCGUCGUCAGCUUACCACGUGAGCGCUAGUGAGCUCAAUGUUUUUUCAACUAAACGUCAGGUCAAGGUGCAACACAUGAGAUGGGAAGAGAUGGGCUACACUUUCUAGCAUAGACCACACGAAAGACUAACUAUGAAAUCUAGUCAGAAGGCGGAUUUAGAAGUAAAAAGUAACCAGAGAGUCCUUUUUAACCCGGCAC
This 362-nucleotide ribosomal RNA is filed under the name Ranitomeya ventrimaculata (Amazonian poison frog). Its description in RNAcentral is "partial 12S ribosomal RNA". It matches the Rfam family "Bacterial small subunit ribosomal RNA", at positions 796 to 1374 of the family's 1533-position model. Lineage: Eukaryota; Metazoa; Chordata; Amphibia; Anura; Dendrobatidae. The record is from RNAcentral.